This 319-nucleotide unclassified non-coding RNA is filed under the name uncultured Acremonium. Its description in RNAcentral is "sequence contains ITS1". The stretch from base 1 to 105 matches the Rfam family "5.8S ribosomal RNA", at positions 50 to 154 of the family's 154-position model. The record is from RNAcentral. Lineage: Eukaryota; Fungi; Ascomycota.
GAAAUGCGAUACGUAAUGUGAAUUGCAGAAUUCAGUGAAUCAUCGAAUCUUUGAACGCACAUUGCGCCCGCCAGCACUCUGGCGGGCAUGCCUGUCCGAGCGUCAUUUCAACCCUCAGGACCCCUUCGGGGGAACCUGGCGUUGGGGAUCGGCCCGCCCCCGUGGCGCGGCCGGCCCCGAAUCACAGUGGCGGCCCCAUCGCGAGCUCCCCUGCGCAGUAGCGAUACCUCGCAGCCGGAUAGCGGUGCGGCCACGCCGUAAAACACCCCACUUCUUCAAGGUUGACCUCGAAUCAGGUAGGACUACCCGCUGAACUUAA